Molecule: non-coding RNA, 93 nt
Organism: Mycena leptocephala
Lineage: Eukaryota; Fungi; Basidiomycota; Agaricomycetes; Agaricales; Mycenaceae
Source: the annotation of a GenBank genome assembly
GACCUGGUGGUGAAAUGUAUCAUGUCCACUUUCCGUGAAUUUGGUUGAAUCCAGUUGUUGUGGGAGUCCCUGGUUCGAAUCCAGGUCAGGUCA